AACGUAGGAGACAAACGUUAUCCGGAGUUACUGGGCGUAAAGGGCGUGUAGGUGGUGCUGUAAGUCUGGCGUGAAAUUUUUCGGCUUAACCGGGAAAGGUCGUCGGAUACUGCAGGACUAGAGGACGGUAGAGGCGUGUGGAAUUCCGGGUGUAGUGGUGAGAUGCGUAGAGAUCCGGAGGAACACCAGUGGCGAAGGCGACACGCUGGGCCGUACCUGACACUGAGGCGCGAUAGCAUGGGGAGCAAACAGG
This 253-nucleotide ribosomal RNA is filed under the name uncultured bacterium. RNAcentral describes it as "partial 16S ribosomal RNA". It matches the Rfam family "Bacterial small subunit ribosomal RNA", at positions 524 to 776 of the family's 1533-position model. The record is from RNAcentral.